This 398-nucleotide ribosomal RNA is filed under the name Ogcodes sp. LRC-2002. RNAcentral describes it as "partial 16S ribosomal RNA". Lineage: Eukaryota; Metazoa; Arthropoda; Insecta; Diptera; Acroceridae. The record is from RNAcentral.
AUUUAAUUUUAAGUCAGGCCUGCCCUAUGAUAUUAAUUAAAUGGCUGCAGUAAUUUAACUGUACAAAGGUAGCAUAAUAAUUAGUUUUUUAAUUGGAAACUAGAAUGAAUGGUUUGAUGAGGUAUAAAUUUUAUUAUAAUAAAAAGUAUAAUUUUAUUUUUUAGUGAGAAAGCUGAAGUAUUUUUAUUAGACGAGAAGACCCUAUAGAGUUUAAUAGUUAGUUUAGUAUUUAAAAUUAGAAUUUAAUUUAAUUACAUUAUUUGAAUUAUUUUAUUGGGGUGAUAGUAAAAUUAAUUUAAUUUUUAUAUUAUUAGUACAUUUAUUUAUGAAUAAUUGAUCCAUUAUUAGCGAUUAUUAAGUAAAAUUACCUUAGGGAUAACAGCAUAAUUUAUUUGGAA